Molecule: ribosomal RNA, 493 nt
Filed under: uncultured bacterium
Lineage: Bacteria
Description: partial 16S ribosomal RNA
Rfam family: Bacterial small subunit ribosomal RNA
Source: RNAcentral
AUUGAACGCUGGCGGCAUGCUUUACACAUGCAAGUCGAACGGUAACAGGUUAAGCUGACGAGUGGCGAACGGGUGAGUAAUGCAUCGGAACGUGCCCGAUCGUGGGGGAUAACGCAGCGAAAGCUGCGCUAAUACCGCAUACGAUCUGAGGAUGAAAGCGGGGGACCGUAAGGCCUCGCGCGAUCAGAGCGGCCGAUGUCAGAUUAGGUAGUUGGUGGGGUAAAGGCUCACCAAGCCAACGAUCUGUAGCUGGUCUGAGAGGACGACCAGCCACACCGGGACUGAGACACGGCCCAGACUCCUACGGGAGGCAGCAGUGGGGAAUUUUGGACAAUGGGCGAAAGCCUGAUCCAGCAAUGCCGCGUGCAGGAAGAAGGCCUUCGGGUUGUAAACUGCUUUUGUGCGGAGCGAAAAAGCUCUCUCUAAUACAGGGGGCUCAUGACAGUACCGUAAGAAUAAGCACCGGCUAACUACGUGCCAGCCGCCGCCGUAA